UAUGGUAAUUGUGCAGCCGCGGUAAUACGUAGGUGGCGAGCGUUGUCCGGAAUUAUUGGGCGUAAAGAGCAUGUAGGCGGUUUUUUAAGUCUGGAGUGAAAAUGCGGGGCUCAACCCCGUAUGGCUCUGGAUACUGGAAGACUUGAGUGCAGGAGAGGAAAGGGGAAUUCCCAGUGUAGCGGUGAAAUGCGUAGAUAUUGGGAGGAACACCAGUGGCGAAGGCGCCUUUCUGGACUGUGUCUGACGCUGAGAUGCGAAAGCCAGGGUAGCGAACGGG
This 277-nucleotide ribosomal RNA is filed under the name Phascolarctobacterium succinatutens YIT 12067. RNAcentral describes it as "partial 16S ribosomal RNA". It matches the Rfam family "Bacterial small subunit ribosomal RNA", at positions 492 to 776 of the family's 1533-position model. The record is from RNAcentral. Lineage: Bacteria; Bacillati; Bacillota; Negativicutes; Acidaminococcales; Acidaminococcaceae.